GUGCUCACUUCCGCAGCACAUGUAUUAAAAAAUCGGAACAAUACAGAGAUUAGCACGGGCCCUGCGCAAAGAUGACAUGCAAAUUCAUGAAGUGUUGCAUAUUUUU
Small nuclear RNA from Pan paniscus (pygmy chimpanzee), 106 nucleotides. The record is from Ensembl. Lineage: Eukaryota; Metazoa; Chordata; Mammalia; Primates; Hominidae.